UCUCCGCACCAGUGAGAAUGCCCUUAAUAUCAAUACUGAUCAAAAGGAGCAGACAUUAAGCACACUAACCAGUAGCUCAAGAUGUCUUGCUUAACCACGCCCCCAAGGGAUACAGCAGUGAUAAAAAUUUAGCAAUAAACGUAAGUUUGACUAAGUUAUGCUACUACAGGGUUGGUAAAUUUCGUGCCAGCCACCGCGGUCAUACGAUUAACCCAAAUUAAUAAACACUCGGCGUAAAGCGUGAUUUAAGUUCAAAUAACAACUAAGCCGUAAAAAGUAAUAGUUGCAAACAAAAAUAAACAACGAAAGUGAUUUUACAGUACUCGAAUUCACGAUAGCUAAGACCCAAACUGGGAUUAGAUACCCCACUAUGCUUAGCCCUAAACCUCAAUAAUUUCAUAACAAAAUUAUUCGCCAGAGAACUACAAGCCACAGCUUAAAACUCAAAGGACUUGGCGGUGCUUUAUACCCCCUAGAGGAGCCUGUUCUAUAAUCGAUGAACCCCGAUAAACCUUACCACUCUUUGCUAAAUCAGCCUAUAUACCGCCAUCUUCAGCAAACCCUAAAAAGGAACAAAAGUGAGCUCAAUUAUCCUCAUAAAGACGUUAGGUCAAGGUGUAGCCCAUAGAGUGGAAAGCAAUGGGCUACAUUUUCUACCUCAGAACACACGAAAGCCCUAAUGAAACUUAAGGCUAAAGGAGGAUUU
This 706-nucleotide ribosomal RNA is filed under the name Bunolagus monticularis (riverine rabbit). RNAcentral's name for it is "partial 12S ribosomal RNA". It matches the Rfam family "Bacterial small subunit ribosomal RNA", at positions 302 to 1289 of the family's 1533-position model. The record is from RNAcentral. Lineage: Eukaryota; Metazoa; Chordata; Mammalia; Lagomorpha; Leporidae.